UGCCCCAUGGCUGAGUUGGUUACAGCGUCCGACUGUUAUUUAACUGAUCGAAAGACAUAAUCGGAAGGUCGAGAGUUCGAGCCUCUCUGGGGCAG
Non-coding RNA from Guyanagaster necrorhizus, 95 nucleotides. The record is from the annotation of a RefSeq genome assembly. NCBI's taxonomy places the organism in Eukaryota, Fungi, Basidiomycota, Agaricomycetes, Agaricales, Physalacriaceae.